RNAcentral lists this ribosomal RNA (327 nucleotides) under uncultured eukaryote. RNAcentral describes it as "partial 18S ribosomal RNA". It matches the Rfam family "Eukaryotic small subunit ribosomal RNA", at positions 1470 to 1796 of the family's 1831-position model. The record is from RNAcentral.
CCCUUAGAUGUUCUGGGCUGCACGCGCGCUACACUGAUGCGUUCAACGAGUUUAUGACCUUGCCCGAUAGGGUUGGGUAAUCUUUUUAAAUCGCUUCGUGAUGGGGAUAGAUUAUUGCAAUUAUUAAUCUUCAACGAGGAAUUCCUAGUAAGCGCGAGUCAUCAGCUCGUGCUGAUUACGUCCCUGCCCUUUGUACACACCGCCCGUCGCUCCUACCGAUUGGGUGAUCCGGUGAAUAAUUCGGACUGCAGCAGUGCUUGGUCCUCCGGGCUUUGCAGCGGAAAGUUUAGUGAACCUUAUCACUUAGAGGAAGGAGAAGUCGUAACA